Molecule: ribosomal RNA, 402 nt
Filed under: uncultured bacterium
Lineage: Bacteria
Description: bacterial SSU rRNA
Rfam family: Bacterial small subunit ribosomal RNA
Source: RNAcentral
UGGGGAAUAUUGCACAAUGGGGGAAACCCUGAUGCAGCGACGCCGCGUGAAGGAAGAAGUAUUUCGGUAUGUAAACUUCUAUCAGCAGGGAAGAAAAUGACGGUACCUGACUAAGAAGCCCCGGCUAACUACGUGCCAGCAGCCGCGGUAAUACGUAGGGGGCAAGCGUUAUCCGGAUUUACUGGGUGUAAAGGGAGCGUAGACGGAGAGGCAAGUCUGAUGUGAAAACCCGGGGCUCAACCCCGGGACUGCAUUGGAAACUGUUUUUCUAGAGUGUCGGAGAGGUAAGCGGAAUUCCUAGUGUAGCGGUGAAAUGCGUAGAUAUUAGGAGGAACACCAGUGGCGAAGGCGGCUUACUGGACGAAGACUGACGUUGAGGCUCGAAAGCGUGGGGAGCAAACA